GGAACAGGCCCGUCAUGGCCCGCACGCUCUCCAGACGGGCCGACGGUUCGGCAGCCAUGAGUCUCUUCAGUCGCGCCGCCACCUCAGGCAACGCUCCGGCUUUCGCCGCCAUCGCGUAUGUCUUCCCGGUCAGCUUUUAUUCGUCGGCCCACAGGGGCCCUCAGGACCAUCCUGUGGCUCUCUGCACAGCCUGGAAGGGCAGAAGGGCACCAUGCAGAGAGAAAGGAGAAGAGCAGAAGGGGUAGAUGCUGUUAAAUCCACGUUGGUUAUCUGAUGGAUGAUUCAAUAAUGACUUGACUAUCUCUGAGAAAUGCAGAUGCUUCUUAUGCAACAUCGUAAACACUGUGUGAUUCACACAGUGAAUCACUUCUGCGUGAUUCACCACCUUAAAUCAAGCAUCAGUGUUGAAUUGGCCCUUCUCAACUGCAGUUUCCAUUAUGGGCAACACCUGGGACCUCCUGCAAGAACAUCUUGCCAGCAGUGAGAAGCAGGAAGUUCUCGACUGAUGAGUGGAAAAAUGAAGAAAACAUCACUGAGUAUCCAGAGCUGAAGAGCAAACAAAGUUGUCAAUACCAUGAAAAAUCAGCUUAUGUUCUCUCUGUAUUGCUUUUGCUGUUCUGCAAAGCAGAUUUUCCUUAGCACACUGAAGGAGGUAAUUACCUAAUUUAGUCCACCACUGGUGCAUUAGCUAUAUGAGAUAACUUCAGCUUUCCCAAGUGCAGCUUUUUUCUGAAUUAAUUCACUCCUGGGUAGCUGUGUCCAGGUUCGAUACUCAAUGAAAAUGUGCUUGAAAACUUCAGCUUGCUCUGUUGGUCCAGUCUGGCUUUUGGGUUUGUAUUUUUUUCCCUGUGUAGCAGGCUGUGCUCACCUCUUUGAUCAAAGUAACCCUGGACUUCAGUCUGAAUGCAAUUUGAACUUUACAAAUUAGGUCUCCCCCAGCUAACAAAGUGGGCAUUUUACUCCUUUUCCUGCUUGCAGCAACAAAAUUCCAUACUUCUGUGCACAGCUGGUAGCAUUUUAGUCAGGCAAUCCCUAUGUAAUCUAUUAUAAUUUUUUUCUUCCUUCCACAGUGUGUGGGUCUUCCAAAUAGUGAAAAUCAACCAUCGCCUGACUAUAAUUCUAUCCAAAUACAUGUUUCAGCAGAGCUCCCUAUGGGAGCAACCCAGGUGCCUGAACACAGAUGUGUAGUGCCAUUUGGGAUGAUUUAGGCUAGCUGAGAUGCCCACAUAGGGCUAUAAGAACUGUGGAAGACGCAUGCCUUUCUGGAGAGGCGGCCAGAGCCAGGGCGGGCUAUAAAAGUCCCAAACAUCUCAACUAAUUUCAAACACCUGAAUGAUUCCUUCAGCACCUCCAGGAGACACCACACAAUUAGAGGGGCAGAUUACUUCUGAGCUCAUUAGCUGAAGGCACUGCACAAAUUUUCCCCAUACAUUAUCAAAUGUCAAUAAUGGAUUAUUUUAUGAUGGUAUGGAAACCAGCACUUCAGUUCUGCACUGCCAUCCCCACCCUUGCAAGGGGGGAAUCAGUAUGUUUGUAUUAUAAGCCUAGUGUUUACAUGUAACUACUUCAUCUGUCUUACACACCUCAGCGUGUACCGUAUUUUUCCAGUCCUUCUGUCAACUUAAUCUGUUGGUCUCUGGGUUGGACUGCUUAGAGGAGAAACUGAAGCUUCCUUCUAUGAACUACUUUGAUUUUAGGAUUCUUUUCAAUCUCAGAUUAUUGAGAACUCUAGCAUUUGCUACACUUAAUUUGUGUGCAAGAAAAAUUUCUCCUUAGAGAAAUUUGGUUGAACCAAGACCCCUGACUGGACCUGCCUCAUGCUCCUAGCCAAGAGCCCUCCUUCACGCAUUAGCAUCCCACUUUCUUUUAGGGAUUUCUCAGGAUCUCAACAACAGCAACAAACACAACAGCCCUAGGUGAGACCAAAGGUCUAGCUCUUCAUCUUGGACCAAAGGAUACAAAACAGAAAGGUAGCUGCAAUAUAAGAAGUACAAGCAGAGUAGGUUGCCUGGGCAUCCUGGUUUCUAUUACCUGCCUUGGCUAAAUAAGACUGAAUUUCUUUAAUAACCAGAGUGUUGUUUGCAAGGCACUGGGCUGGACAGCGUAUCCCUUGUUUCUGCCCUUCAUUUGCAUGCCCGUGGAUGUUGUUGAGAUGAAGUACUGCAUAAAUGCAUGGGUAAAUACACUCCAGCAUAGAAGUCAAACUCAACAGAACUACUGUAUCAUCUAUCUCUUCUGCCCUCCCGGAUAAUUGAGCUUACUGUUUUGUCCUGGCUCUGUGAGCAUCCAGCCAUUUCUGCUACUACUACACAAUUUUAUUUCAGGAGAUUUAAACCUAAAUACUAAUAUAUCCUAAAUAGCAGAUGCAUGUAUAGACAUGUUAAUUGCUGAUGGAUAAAGCCCCAGUAGAUUCUAGUUAUUUCUCCUGGACCAGAUCAAACUUCCUUCUAUGCAUUACAAACAGCUUUCUUUGUGCAUCUCUACAAGCAGCUCUUAACAAACACACUAUCCUGCUUUUAUUACAGAUCAAUUGCUAAAAAGGACACAUAUUAUGCUUUUAAAGUCAUGCUUUCGGCAUCUUGCAUUUUGUACAUCAGUGUAACAUAAAAGCUAAAAAGAAAAAUGAACUAAUCCAGAUAUUGUUGAAAUGUAUACCUAACCCAACCCAACUUGUGUGCUGAAUCUUAUCAGAAGGAAAAGAGUAAGCAGCCUAAGAAAUGCAAAACCUUCUAAAGAAGAAAAGUUGAGAUGGCAAGUACAGAGCUACUAUUCUGCAAAGCCAUUUCACAGAAUCACAGAAUGACCCAGGUUGGAAGGGACCUCAAGGAUCAUGAAGUUCCAACCCCCCUGCCUGGCACAUCCACCAAACUUACAUUUAAAGCCAUUUACACAACUAUGACCAAAUAAUUAAUGUUACCAUAAAGCUUUCUCUAGUUCCACACUGAAUACUUGAUUCCCCCUUCAAAAUGGAAUCGCUUAAGCUAAACUUUACAGUCACAGCUCUGUUCUGCAGCAGCUAGAUAGCACAGCUUUAAUCCUUGGCAAGCAUUAGAGCUGAAGAGGACUCCUGCAACAGAACAGGCUGAAUGCUACACCAUGAUUACAUGGCACAAGAUUGGGGACUGAGAAUCGCCUUGAAUUUGGGAAAGUUUAUGUAAAUAAAAGCAUUUUCUUGAAAAACAAAGAAUUCAUUUCAUCAGUGUGUUUAUCCCACUGGCUGCAGGUGUUUCUCCAUCUAAGUCCAUUCUCCAUUCCACAGUUUACUUCUUUGCAGCACAUAGUGAGCAGUGUUCGCUGCAUGCCAUACUUCUAUUCAAGAAAAUCAAUGUGCUUUCAAGUAGCUUUGGAACCUGGAUUGGCCUGCCUCUGAAUUUCAUGCAGAAAUUGGAUACUCUGAAAGGAUGGGGUUAGGUUUAAAAAGAAAAAAUACCUGGGCUUUAUAAACCAGGAGGCUGACAUAUAUGUAUUUUUUAAAAUGAUUAAUUGCUAGGAAGCAAUAGAUCAGUACCAGCUGGCCAGCUGCUAGAGCUGGGACUUCCUUAUCCCUAACACCUAGAAAAAAAUUUUAUGGCUUAGGAAUGACAGAUAGAAAAGGGGGAAAAAAAAA
This is a long non-coding RNA of Coturnix japonica (Japanese quail), 3607 nucleotides long. RefSeq lists it as uncharacterized. The record is from RefSeq and is a predicted model, not a curated record. NCBI's taxonomy places the organism in Eukaryota, Metazoa, Chordata, Aves, Galliformes, Phasianidae.